RNAcentral lists this ribosomal RNA (445 nucleotides) under uncultured bacterium. RNAcentral's name for it is "bacterial SSU rRNA". It matches the Rfam family "Bacterial small subunit ribosomal RNA", at positions 354 to 796 of the family's 1533-position model. The record is from RNAcentral.
GUAAGGAAUAUUGGUCAAUGGGCGAGAGCCUGAACCAGCCACGCCGCGUGAAGGAAGACGGCCCUACGGGUUGUAAACUUCUUUUCUACGGGAAUAAACCUCAGGACGUGUCCUGAGCUGAAGGUACCGUAGGAAUAAGCAUCGGCUAACUCCGUGCCAGCAGCCGCGGUAAUACGGAGGAUGCAAGCGUUAUCCGGAUUUAUUGGGUUUAAAGGGUGCGUAGGUGGGAUGAUAAGUCAGAGGUGAAAGCUAGCAGCUUAACUGUUAAAUUGCCUUUGAUACUGUUAUUCUUGAGUGUAGUUGGCGUUGGCGGAAUGUGACAUGUAGCGGUGAAAUGCGUAGAUAUGUCACAGAACACCGAUCGCGAAGGCAGCUAACGAAGCUAUCACUGACACUGAUGCACGAAAGCGUGGGGAGCAAACAGGAUUAGAAACCCCUGUAGUCC